Molecule: ribosomal RNA, 700 nt
Filed under: Streptomyces cirratus
Lineage: Bacteria; Bacillati; Actinomycetota; Actinomycetes; Kitasatosporales; Streptomycetaceae
Description: bacterial SSU rRNA
Rfam family: Bacterial small subunit ribosomal RNA
Source: RNAcentral
GGGCAAUCUGCCCUUCACUCUGGGACAAGCCCUGGAAACGGGGUCUAAUACCGGAUAAUACUCCUGCCUGCAUGGGUGGGGGUUGAAAGCUCCGGCGGUGAAGGAUGAGCCCGCGGCCUAUCAGCUUGUUGGUGGGGUAAUGGCCCACCAAGGCGACGACGGGUAGCCGGCCUGAGAGGGCGACCGGCCACACUGGGACUGAGACACGGCCCAGACUCCUACGGGAGGCAGCAGUGGGGAAUAUUGCACAAUGGGCGAAAGCCUGAUGCAGCGACGCCGCGUGAGGGAUGACGGCCUUCGGGUUGUAAACCUCUUUCAGCAGGGAAGAAGCGAAAGUGACGGUACCUGCAGAAGAAGCGCCGGCUAACUACGUGCCAGCAGCCGCGGUAAUACGUAGGGCGCAAGCGUUGUCCGGAAUUAUUGGGCGUAAAGAGCUCGUAGGCGGCUUGUCACGUCGGAUGUGAAAGCCCGAGGCUUAACCUCGGGUCUGCAUUCGAUACGGGCUAGCUAGAGUGUGGUAGGGGAGAUCGGAAUUCCUGGUGUAGCGGUGAAAUGCGCAGAUAUCAGGAGGAACACCGGUGGCGAAGGCGGAUCUCUGGGCCAUUACUGACGCUGAGGAGCGAAAGCGUGGGGAGCGAACAGGAUUAGAUACCCUGGUAGUCCACGCCGUAAACGUUGGGAACUAGGUGUUGGCGACAUU